RNAcentral lists this ribosomal RNA (506 nucleotides) under uncultured bacterium. RNAcentral describes it as "partial 16S ribosomal RNA". It matches the Rfam family "Bacterial small subunit ribosomal RNA", at positions 30 to 523 of the family's 1533-position model. The record is from RNAcentral.
AUUGAACGCUGGCGGCAGGCCUAACACAUGCAAGUCGAGCGGCAGCGGAAAGUAGCUUGCUACUUUGCCGGCGAGCGGCGGACGGGUGAGUAAUGUCUGGGAAACUGCCUGAUGGAGGGGGAUAACUACUGGAAACGGUAGCUAAUACCGCAUAACGUCGCAAGACCAAAGAGGGGGACCUUCGGGCCUCUCGCCAUCAGAUGUGCCCAGAUGGGAUUAGCUAGUAGGUGGGGUAACGGCUCACCUAGGCGACGAUCCCUAGCUGGUCUGAGAGGAUGACCAGCCACACUGGAACUGAGACACGGUCCAGACUCCUACGGGAGGCAGCAGUGGGGAAUAUUGCACAAUGGGCGCAAGCCUGAUGCAGCCAUGCCGCGUGUAUGAAGAAGGCCUUCGGGUUGUAAAGUACUUUCAGCGGGGAGGAAGGCGUUGAGGUUAAUAACCUCAGCGAUUGACGUUACCCGCAGAAGAAGCACCGGCUAACUCCGUGCCAGCCGCCGCGGUAA